GAUCGUGGCUAAGGAUGAACGCUAGCUACAGGCUUAACACAUGCAAGUCGAGGGGCAGCAUGGUCUUAGCUUGCUAAGGCCGAUGGCGACCGGCGCACGGGUGAGUAACGCGUAUCCAACCUGCCUUACACUCUUGGACAGCCUUCUGAAAGGGAGAUUAAUACAAGAUGUUAUCAUGAGUAAGCAUUUUCGCAUGAUUAAAGGUUUACCGGUGUAAGAUGGGGAUGCGUUCCAUUAG
This 238-nucleotide ribosomal RNA is filed under the name uncultured bacterium. RNAcentral describes it as "partial 16S ribosomal RNA". It matches the Rfam family "Bacterial small subunit ribosomal RNA", at positions 15 to 244 of the family's 1533-position model. The record is from RNAcentral.